Molecule: ribosomal RNA, 469 nt
Filed under: uncultured bacterium
Lineage: Bacteria
Description: bacterial SSU rRNA
Rfam family: Bacterial small subunit ribosomal RNA
Source: RNAcentral
GAUGAACGCUAGCGGCAGGCUUAACACAUGCAAGUCGAGGGGUAUUGGUUUUCGGACCAAGAGACCGGCGCACGGGUGCGUAACGCGUAUGCAAUCUACCUUUUGCAGAGGGAUAGCCCAGAGAAAUUUGGAUUAAUACCUCAUAGUAUAGUACUUUGGCAUCAAGGAACUAUUAAAGUCACAACGGCAAAAAGAUGAGCAUGCGUCCCAUUAGCUAGUUGGUAAGGUAAACGGCUUACCAAGGCUACGAUGGGUAGGGGUCCUGAGAGGGAGAUCCCCCACACUGGUACUGAGACACGGACCAGACUCCUAACGGGAGGCAGCAGUGAGGAAUAUUGGACAAAUGGGCGCAAAGCCUGAUCCAGCCAUGCCGCGUGCAGGAUGACGGUCCUAUGGAUUGUAAAACUGGCUUUUUUGUAACAGGAAGAAACCCUUUUCACGUGUGGAAGAUUGACGUACUGUAAGAAUA